Molecule: ribosomal RNA, 440 nt
Filed under: uncultured bacterium
Lineage: Bacteria
Description: partial 16S ribosomal RNA
Rfam family: Bacterial small subunit ribosomal RNA
Source: RNAcentral
CCUACGGGAGGCAGCAGUAGGGAAUAUUGCUCAAUGGGGGAAACCCUGAAGCAGCAACGCCGCGUGGAGGAUGAAGGUUUUAGGAUUGUAACCUCCUUUUGUUAGAGAAGAUUAUGACGGUAUCUAACGAAUAAGCACCGGCUACCUCCGUGCCAGCAGCCGCGGUAAUACGGAGGUUGCAAUCGUGACUCGGAAUCACUGGGCGUAAAGAGUGCGUAGGCGGGGUAAUAAGUCAGAUGUGAAAUCCUGUGGCUUAACUACAGAACUGCAUUUGAAACUGGUACUCUGGAGUGUUGGAGAGGUAGGUGGAAUUCUUGGUGUAGGAGUAAAAUCCGUAGAGAUCAAGAGGAAUACUCAUUGCGAAGGCGACCUGCUGGAACAUUACUGACGCUGAUGCACGAAAGCGUGGGGAGCAAACAGGAUUAGAUACCCUAGUAGUC